Molecule: long non-coding RNA, 442 nt
Filed under: Monodelphis domestica (gray short-tailed opossum)
Lineage: Eukaryota; Metazoa; Chordata; Mammalia; Didelphimorphia; Didelphidae
Description: lncRNA (ENSMODG00000038724.1)
Source: RNAcentral
CACAUCGAGAUGCUGAGGAACAGCUUGAGAGACACGCACAAGUCUAUUUUAAGGAACUAAAAGCCAAUGAAUCAUUAUCCAAGGAAUUAGAUAGAGCUAACAGGAGACUACUGAAGGUGAGUGCCAAACUCCGAAAUGAAAGGCAGAGGGAUGAAACUUUAAGGGCCAGUUUUACUGCAAGUCCCAUUCUGGAGCCACCUCCUACUGAGCCUCCUAACAGUAGUUCACUCUUCAACGGAGGACUGAUUCCAAGGAAAUGGAGGACAUGCUUUUGGAAUCACAGUGUCUUUGAACAGUAGAGCCAAUGCCUAUUUUAGAAAGGUUUUUGAUGAAGAGAAAAUUUUGAAAAGGAACCAAACAGAGAACUUCAAAAUCGGAAAUCGCAAAGUUAUUAAGAAUUAUUAAAGUAUUUGUAUUUGUAGAAAUAAAAAUUGUUGCCCUU